UUAGUUUCUGAGUUUCAAUUUGAAUUAAUUAGGUGAUGGAAAAUGAACUUAACUAUGGAAUGUAGGAUUAUCAGUUUUAGCUAGUUUCAAAAUGGUGGUCCUUAGUUGAAUUUCCGUGUGCACUUAAUUUGAAUUUUCUUUUUACAAUGAUCGUGAUGCAGGUGCUUGCACUUGUAAAUUGGAUGAGUUUUUCAAUUUAUUACUGUUAGCAUAUUAGUUUGAAUCAAAACAAGCCAAGUCAGUAUGUUGCUUAUCUCUCAUGGCCAAUGCUAAGGUCCUGCUAUCCUUGUUUGUCUUCACAUGUGUUGUUAGUAAUCCUUGGCCACAGUUAAUUGAUCAAUUUGGAUUUAAACUUGCUUGGCAUUUAAUACUAAAUCCCAUCUAUCGACUGUUGCUACUGUUUGAACUGUUUUUUUUUUGCAUUUGGAAAUGAAGUUAAUGUUAGUAACCAAAUCUGGAAGUUAGUUAAAGAAAAUGAAAUGGGUUAGCUUAUUAGGACAAAUAGAAUUUAUGCAAUUAGUUUUAUUAGUGUUGGUUAAGUUAGCUGCUCAGUUGAGCAAAAUUCAUUGAGUUAAACCGGACCCAUCUAGCAUUCCACUUUUCCAUUUCCUGAAUUCCUUGUUACUGCAUGCUCUAACUUGGACUGCUAGGUAUGGAGGGUUUAUACCCAUGGUUUCCAGACUGCUCCGUGCAUUUGACCUUGGUGCUUGUAUUGUUUUGGUAUGUGAUUUAUUGUAUUGCAUGAUGGCAUUUGCUAGCAGGUCUUGACAUGGUUUUGUGAACUAAUCAUGAUGUGUUGCAGAUCUAUGGUAUGGUUAGGCUUUGCUCAUGUUUUGGACAUAGUUCUACAUAUGCUGCUUAUGGGUUCUGAUUUGUGGUUUAUGUCAUGUCUUGAUGUAGGGUUUGUAUAGUAUGCAUUGUUCUGACUUGGCCUUGAUGAUGGUAAGCUUUUGAUGGAUUACAUUGUAUGCUACUUGUGUUAUAUUAUGAUGCUUGGUUCAUUGCUUGACAUGAAGAUGCGAUGUUACCGCAUGUUGUUUGGAUAGCUUGGUUCAUAAUUGCUAUGCAUUAGUGGGAUUAGGCAUGAUGGCAAGAUGGAAUAAGGCAACAACCUAAGCAUGACUAGGCCAACCAACCAAGUUCAAAACAUAUUGAUCACAACAUGGAAAAACCAAGUUCACAUAACCACCUCAAGAAUAAGAAUGUUGGAUGCAAAUAGAGCUAAGACUAGUCAUUUAGUUAUUAGGGAUGCAAAAUGCCAUAGGUUGACUUUGGUCAAAGUUAACCAAAAAGUCAACUAUUGACCAAAGUCAUCCAUUAGUCAACAUGUGAUUUUUCUUGAAUUUCUUGAUAUGUAAUGAACAUUUUUGUGUGCUAAUGAAUGAAAUUGGCCAUUUUGAAUGAAAAAAUGAAUGAAUUGAACAUAUGAGCAUGUUUCUUGAUUUUGACUUUGAAUAAACAUGAUUUGUAAUGAAAUGGAUUUAAG
RNAcentral lists this long non-coding RNA (1486 nucleotides) under Lathyrus oleraceus (garden pea). RNAcentral's name for it is "Pisum sativum (pea) long non-coding RNA (PSAT_LNC031088)". Lineage: Eukaryota; Viridiplantae; Streptophyta; Magnoliopsida; Fabales; Fabaceae. The record is from RNAcentral.